CGAAACCUACGGGGGGCAGCAGUGAAGAAUAUUGGUCAAUGGGCGGGAGCCUGAACCAGCCAAGUCGCGUGAGGGAAGACGGUCCUAUGGAUUGUAAACCUCUUUAGGCGGGGAGCAAUGCCGGGCACGCGUGCCCGGAGGGAGAGUACCCGCAGAAUAAGCAUCGGCUAACUCCGUGCCAGCAGCCGCGGUAAUACGGAGGAUGCGAGCGUUAUCCGGAUUUAUUGGGUUUAAAGGGUGCGCAGGCGGGCCUUUAAGCCGGCGGUGGAAUCGCGGGGCUCAAACCCGCCC
RNAcentral lists this ribosomal RNA (291 nucleotides) under uncultured bacterium. RNAcentral's name for it is "partial 16S ribosomal RNA". It matches the Rfam family "Bacterial small subunit ribosomal RNA", at positions 333 to 620 of the family's 1533-position model. The record is from RNAcentral.